RNAcentral lists this transfer RNA (77 nucleotides) under Chromobacterium violaceum. Its description in RNAcentral is "tRNA-Val". It matches the Rfam family "tRNA". From Rfam's summary of the family: Transfer RNA (tRNA) molecules are approximately 80 nucleotides in length. Their secondary structure includes four short double-helical elements and three loops (D, anti-codon, and T loops). Lineage: Bacteria; Pseudomonadati; Pseudomonadota; Betaproteobacteria; Neisseriales; Chromobacteriaceae. The record is from RNAcentral.
GGGCGGUUAGUCUCAGUUGGUAGAGCACUGCCUUCACACGGCAGGGGUCGCUGGUUCGACUCCGUCAACGCCCACCA